RNAcentral lists this ribosomal RNA (118 nucleotides) under Piliocolobus tephrosceles (Ugandan red Colobus). The record is from RNAcentral. Lineage: Eukaryota; Metazoa; Chordata; Mammalia; Primates; Cercopithecidae.
GUCUAUAGCCAUACCACCCUCAAUGUGCCUGACCUUGUCUAAUCUCAGAAGCUAAGCAGAGUCCAGGCCUGGUUAGUAUUUGGAUGGGAAAAUAGUGAAACAUUUUCCUUUGAUGACU